AGGGUUUGAUCAUGGCUCAGAACGAACGCUGGUGGCGUGCUUAACACAUGCAAGUCGAACGAGAAAGUUUCCUUCGGGAAAUUAGUAAAGUGGCGCAAGGGUGAGUAUCACGUGAAUAAUCUGCCCUCGAGAUCGGGAUAACAUGGUGAAAACUAUGCUAAUACCGGAUAAGACCACAUUUCAUAGGAAAUGCGGUAAAAGGAGUCUCAAUCUUCACUCGAGGAUGAGUUCGCGCAACAUUAGCUUGUUGGUGAGAUAAAAGCUCACCAAGGCUACGAUGUUUAGCCGGCCUGAGAGGGUGAUCGGCCACACUGGAACUGAGACACGGUCCAGACUCCUACGGGAGGCAGCAGUGGGGAAUAUUGCGCAAUGGGCGAAAGCCUGACGCAGCAACGCCGUGUGAGCGAUGAAGGCUUUAGGGUCGUAAAGCUCUGUCAAAUGGGAAGAAUUUUGACGGUACCAUUAGAGGAAGCCCCGGCUAACUCCGUGCCAGCAGCCGCGGUAAUACGGAGGGGGCAAGCGUUGUUCGGAAUUAUUGGGCGUAAAGCGUAUGUAGGCGGUUAAACAAGUCAGGCGUGCAAGCCCGUGGCUCAACCACGGAAUUGCGUUUGAAACUGUUUAACUUGAGUACAGGAGAGGAAAG
Molecule: ribosomal RNA, 643 nt
Filed under: uncultured bacterium
Lineage: Bacteria
Description: bacterial SSU rRNA
Rfam family: Bacterial small subunit ribosomal RNA
Source: RNAcentral